This 392-nucleotide ribosomal RNA is filed under the name uncultured bacterium. Its description in RNAcentral is "partial 16S ribosomal RNA". It matches the Rfam family "Bacterial small subunit ribosomal RNA", at positions 523 to 918 of the family's 1533-position model. The record is from RNAcentral.
AUACGGAGGAUGCGAGCGUUAUCCGGAUUUAUAGGGUUUAAAGGGAGCGUAGGCGGGAGCUUAAGUCAGCGGUUAAAUGGUGCGGCUCAACCGUGCCCUGCCGUUGAAACUGGGUUUCUUGAGAGUGCAAGAGGCGGAUGGAAUUCAUGGUGUAGCGGUGAAAUGCUUAGAUAUCAUGAAGAACUCCGAUUGCGAAGGCAGUCCGCUGGGGCACGUCUGACGCUGAUGCUCGAAGGUGCGGGAAUCAAACAGGAUUAGAGACCCUGGUAGUCCGCACGGUAAACGAUGAUUACCGGCUGUCGGGGGCAGACAGUCGGCGGCCAAGCGAAAGCGAUAAGUAAUCCACCUGGGGAGUACGCCGGCAACGGUGAAACUCAAAUGAAUUGACGGGG